CGAAAGCGUGGGUAGCAAACAGGAUUAGAUACCCUGGUAGUCCACGCCCUAAACGAUGCAUAUUUGGUGUGGGCAGUUCAUUCUGUCUGUGCCGGAGCUAACGCGUUAAAUAUGCCGCCUGGGGAGUACAGUCGCAAGGCUGAAACUCAAAGGAAUUGACGGGGGCCCGCACAAGCGGUGGAGCAUGUGGUUCAAUUCAACGCAACGCGAAGAACCUUACCUGGGCUCGAACGGCCGGUCAACGGCGUUGGAAACAGCGCUACCCCGCAAGGGGGUCCGGUCGAGGUGCUGCAUGGCUGUCGUCAGCUCGUGUCGUGAGAUGUUGGGUUAAGUCCCGCAACGAGCGCAGCCCUUGUCCUGUGUUGCCAUGCCGAAAGGCGGAACUCGCAGGAGACCGCCAGCGAUAAGCUGGAGGAAGGUGGGGAUGACGUCAAGUCCUCAUGGCCUUUAUGUCCAGGGCUACACACGUGCUACAAUGGCCGGUACAAAGCGCCGCAAACCCGCGAGGGGGAGCCAAUCGCACAAAACCGGUCUCAGUUCGGAUUGCAGGCUGCAACUCGCCUGCAUGAAGCUGGAAUCGCUAGUAAUGGCAGAUCAGCACGCUGCCGUGAAUACGUUCCCGGGCCUUGUACACACCGCCCGUCACAUCACGAAAGUGGAUUGUACUAGAAGUCUGCGGGCUGACCCGCAAGGGGGGCAGCGGCCCAAGGUAUGAUCCAUGAUUGGGGUGAAGUCGUAACAAGGUAGCCGUA
This 752-nucleotide ribosomal RNA is filed under the name uncultured bacterium. RNAcentral describes it as "bacterial SSU rRNA". It matches the Rfam family "Bacterial small subunit ribosomal RNA", at positions 754 to 1504 of the family's 1533-position model. The record is from RNAcentral.